AACGCACGAGACCUGCGGACCUGCGGAGGGAUCAUUACCGAGUUAUCCAACUCCCAACCCCUGCGAAUUAUACCUUUAAUUGUUGCUUCGGCGGGACUUCGCGCCCGCCGGGGACCCAAACCUUCUGAAUUUUUUAAUAAGUAUCUUCUGAGUGGUUAAAAAAAUGAAUCAAAACUUUUAACAACGGAUCUCU
This 193-nucleotide unclassified non-coding RNA is filed under the name soil metagenome. Its description in RNAcentral is "partial contains 5.8S ribosomal RNA, internal transcribed spacer 2, and large subunit ribosomal RNA". The record is from RNAcentral.